RNAcentral lists this small nuclear RNA (101 nucleotides) under Dasypus novemcinctus (nine-banded armadillo). Lineage: Eukaryota; Metazoa; Chordata; Mammalia; Cingulata; Dasypodidae. The record is from RNAcentral.
AUGUCACAGCAUAUAUAUUAAAAUUGAAACAAUUCAGAGAAGGUGAGCUCUGGUCCCUGUGAAAAGACGAUAUGCAUAUUUGUGAAGUGCCCCAUAUAUUU